UGGGGAAUUGUUCACAAUGGGCGCAAGCCUGAUGACGCAACGCCGCGUGGAGGAUGAAGACCUUCGGGUCGUAAACUCCUUUCGACCGAGAUGAAGACCGAUCGACCUAAUACGCCGAUCGAUUGACAGUAUCGAGGGAAGAAGCCCCGGCUAACUCCGUGCCAGCAGCCGCGGUAAUACGGGGGGGGCAAGCGUUGUUCGGAAUUACUGGGCGUAAAGGGUUCGUAGGUGGCUCGCUAAGUCAGACGUGAAAUCCCUCAGCUUAACCGAGGAACUGCGUCUGAGACUGGCAAGCUUGAGGGUAGGAGAGGAACGCAGAAUUCCAGGUGUAGCGGUGAAAUGCGUAGAUAUCUGGAGGAAUACCGGUGGCGAAGGCGGCGUUCUGGACUACAUCUGACACUGAGGAACGAAAGCCAGGGGAGCAAACGGGAUUAGAUACCCCCGUAGUCC
Molecule: ribosomal RNA, 450 nt
Filed under: uncultured bacterium
Lineage: Bacteria
Description: bacterial SSU rRNA
Rfam family: Bacterial small subunit ribosomal RNA
Source: RNAcentral